AGCACCUGUUGGAGAUUCGGGAAAAUCGCCAGCGCUCCAGGCGAUGUCCAAGUGAAGGCCGGAAGCCAUGAUUAAAAAGGCGGAUGGAUUUUGGUGUCCUCUGUUCGUCACGCUACUGCCUUUAGGCGGCGCUUGGUAAAUAUCGUCGCCUUCCGUUCGACCUUCGUGGAAGUGGAAGUCCUCUCUUCGUAUCCUUGAUAUCUCGAAUGGAUCGCCCAUUGUCUCCCCGGAAGCUUGGAGUUUCUCGGCGUUGCUGACUAAACGCGCCACUGCAUUAUCCAUAGCGAUCUGGAGUAAAUAAGAGCAUCGGCCAUAGCCAAGCGACCAUCCGCGUCCGUAUUCGAGACACGUACCCUGACGCCGGACUUAGCGGUGAUCACCUCGUCGGCGACGUAGGAAUUCUCACCGAUGCUGUUCCGUACCACGCACAGAGCCACCACAGCCUUCACCGUCGGUGGUUGCAGCAAAUUCACCACCUGUCAACAUCAAAUCCUUCCUACGGCUACUUUCAUAAACAUACCAAACGUAUAAUACUUUUAGCAGUUAACGAGACUAUGCGCUCUCUUUUAAUCUUCUUACUGUCUCGAUUAAGCAUUAGGAAAUACAAAUUACAUGGCACAGUUGUACCAUUGAUUAUCCCGAUCGCAGAACCGUGCUCAUAAUCAUAUCGACCAAAUUGUCGGUUUAAUCAUCGUAAAAUGAAACGCUCGAGUUAAAUCCCUCCUAUAG
This 729-nucleotide unclassified non-coding RNA is filed under the name Bombus terrestris (buff-tailed bumblebee). RNAcentral's name for it is "misc RNA ENSBTSG00005036465.1". The record is from RNAcentral. Lineage: Eukaryota; Metazoa; Arthropoda; Insecta; Hymenoptera; Apidae.